GCUUUAUAAAUAAUUUAAAUUUAGUUAGUUUAGGUAAUAAAAAUUAAAUUUAGUUAUUUUAUUUCAUUGGGGUGAUGUGAGCAUAAUUAUUAUUAACUGUUUAGAAAUGAUACUAUAUUGAAAGAAUUUAUAAUAAAUGAUCCUUAUUAAAGAUUAAAAGACUAAGUU
This 168-nucleotide ribosomal RNA is filed under the name Actaea bocki. Its description in RNAcentral is "partial 16S ribosomal RNA". Lineage: Eukaryota; Metazoa; Arthropoda; Malacostraca; Decapoda; Xanthidae. The record is from RNAcentral.